UACGUAGGGGGCAAGCGUUAUCCGGAUUUACUGGGUGUAAAGGGAGCGUAGGCGGCUUAGUAAGUCAGAAGUGAAAGCCCGCAGCUCAACUGCGGGACUGCUUUUGAAACUGCCAGGCUAGAGUGUCGGAGAGGUAAGUGGAAUUCCUAGUGUAGCGGUGAAAUGCGUAGAUAUUAGGAGGAACACCAGUGGCGAAGGCGGCUUACUGGACGAUGACUGACGCUGAGGCUCGAAGGCCAGGGGAGCGAAAGGG
Molecule: ribosomal RNA, 253 nt
Filed under: uncultured Eubacteriales bacterium
Lineage: Bacteria; Bacillati; Bacillota; Clostridia; Eubacteriales
Description: uncultured Clostridiales bacterium partial 16S ribosomal RNA
Rfam family: Bacterial small subunit ribosomal RNA
Source: RNAcentral